RNAcentral lists this transfer RNA (94 nucleotides) under Bradyrhizobium liaoningense. Its description in RNAcentral is "tRNA-Arg". The record is from RNAcentral. Lineage: Bacteria; Pseudomonadati; Pseudomonadota; Alphaproteobacteria; Hyphomicrobiales; Nitrobacteraceae.
GCCGUCGAUACUGUGCGGGAUGACGGGCGGCUGCUCCGGAUAGUUGCGCACCUCCUUCUCGGAGGUGUUGCGGUUCGGCAGCAUCGGCGGCGCC